CCAACUACGGAGGAGAUUUAGCUCUUUCCACUAUGAGUUGCAUAAAAUAUACAAAAGUUAUGGAAGUCAUAAAAUGGCAUUAGCAAGAGGAACCGAGUUGGUGGAUGAAGUGGUUUGGAGGAAAUUAUGCAUUAAAUGGGGGAGUAAAGAGUUCAAGGCAUUGUCAUUGAAAAAUAAGUUGAAUAGGGAACAACUACGUACUAACCAUACAGUAGGAAGGAAGUCCUUCGUUUGAUUACUUGAAGAGAAGCGGGAGAGUGUGACAAAUCUGGUUGAUUUUUAUAAAGAGAGCCGAUGGUCGUGGAAGAAGAGAAAGUUCGUGACAAAUGUGACUGAAGAUAUCUAUAACCAAAUGGUGGAGAAGCUGAAUGCAAUGGAACUAGAAGCUCGAAUCAAGGA
Juglans microcarpa x Juglans regia is the source of this 399-nucleotide long non-coding RNA. RefSeq lists it as uncharacterized. The record is from RefSeq and is a predicted model, not a curated record. The transcript has 4 exons. Lineage: Eukaryota; Viridiplantae; Streptophyta; Magnoliopsida; Fagales; Juglandaceae.